RNAcentral lists this ribosomal RNA (253 nucleotides) under uncultured bacterium. RNAcentral's name for it is "partial 16S ribosomal RNA". It matches the Rfam family "Bacterial small subunit ribosomal RNA", at positions 524 to 776 of the family's 1533-position model. The record is from RNAcentral.
UACGAAGGGGGCUAGCGUUGCUCGGAAUCACUGGGCGUAAAGCGCACGUAGGCGGAUUGCUAAGUCAGGGGUGAAAUCCUGGAGCUCAACUCCAGAACUGCCUUUGAUACUGGCGACCUUGAGUCCGGGAGAGGUGAGUGGAACUGCGAGUGUAGAGGUGAAAUUCGUAGAUAUUCGCAAGAACACCAGUGGCGAAGGCGGCUCACUGGCCCGGUACUGACGCUGAGGCGCGAAAGCGUGGGGAGCAAACAGG